AUAUAUAUAUAUAUAUAUAUAUAUAUAUAUAUGUCUGUCUGUGUGUGUGUGUGUGUGUGCGCGCGCGCGCAUCCAUCAGUAUAUAAUACACAUAUAUGUAUGUACGUAUGUAUAUGGUUAUGGAUAUGGAUAUUGAUGUUUGUAUGUAUGUAUAUGUGCAUGUGUGUAUUAUAUACUGAUGCAUGCAGCACCAGGUUAUUUUGGAAGUCAAAUGUUUUUAUCUUUUUUUUUCCGGGGGGUGGGGUUUGGGGGUGUGGCUAUUAAAUUAAAAAAAAAAAUGUCUUGGAGAGGCACGUAUUUUUUCUAGGAAAAGCCCAUGAUUUCUAUCAAAAGAACCUGAAACAUUUUCAAGACAGAUUGUAAGAGAGUCAGUGUGGGCCGUGAGCAAGGGAGAUAAUCUCAAUCAACAUUCACCAAGUAAGAUACCUUUAGUAAUUUAGUCUCUAGUCCUUGACAUGGAUAAAAAUCUCUUGAAAUUGACUAUUUAGAGUCUAAGGAGAUAUGGUGCCUAUUCAAUAGCAGUUAUUGGAAUGAGAAAUAUCUUUGGUCAUGGGAUCUCAAAAAUUCCGAGAUUAAAUGUGGGAAAGAGUCAAAGGAUCACUUUAAGAAGUAGUGGAAGUCUAACAAUGCAAGUUAUUUUGAGUUAUUUUAUUUUGAAACUUUGUGUGUGUG
RNAcentral lists this long non-coding RNA (672 nucleotides) under Phoenix dactylifera (date palm). RNAcentral's name for it is "long non-coding RNA (PDAC_LNC019518)". The record is from RNAcentral. Lineage: Eukaryota; Viridiplantae; Streptophyta; Magnoliopsida; Arecales; Arecaceae.